Molecule: long non-coding RNA, 2539 nt
Organism: Eriocheir sinensis (Chinese mitten crab)
Lineage: Eukaryota; Metazoa; Arthropoda; Malacostraca; Decapoda; Varunidae
Exons: 7
Source: RefSeq, a predicted model, not a curated record
UAUAUAGCUGCACCUUCCACCACCACACAACACCCAGCCGCACGUGCCCCAGUAAUGAGAUUCCCUUGUAGUUAUGACAGAAAUCGUUAUUCUGUUUUGGUAAUGGUGGAGAGGGAGGAAGGGAGACCCGAGCCCCAGACCAAGGCCGAGUAGUGCCUGGCGGGGCGUGUUGACGUGUGUGUGUGUGUGUUGGUGAGCAGCGUUCAUUGCAAGGUGUGUUCCUCCAUAUUUACCGCAUAAAAUGAAGACAAAGAUUCUUGUGUUGCCCUGUAAUGUGUUGUUCUAUGGCUGUGUUGUUGUCAGUGCUAAGAGGCUGGGGGAGGGAGAGGCUUAGUGAAGCAGACUAUGGUGAUGCCAAGGUUAUUUACUUUGUUGAAUCUCGUCGACUACGGACACAGCUGAGGUGGACCUCCGCUGCUUCCCACUGGCUCCUCUCCUCUUGCUGAAGCCACGUACGUGUGCCUGUGUUGUCCAGCAGAGGCCGGAGGGGUCUGUGAACAGCACCGGCACCAGCCAGGUGCUGGAGUGGUGCCAGGACUCAUCCAUGGUGGUGGUUGGUGUGUGAACAGCAGCGGCACCAGCCAGGUGCUGGAGUGGUGCCAGGACUCAUCCAUGGUGGUGGUUGGUGUGUGAACAGCAGCGGCACCAGCCAGGUGCUGGAGUGGUGCCAGGACACAUCCAUGGUGGUGGUUGGUGUGUGAACAGCAGCGGCACCAGCCAGGUGCUGGAGUGGUGCCAGGACACAUCCAUGGUGGUGGUUGGCAUAAGUGUUUCAGGCUGGGCCUCAUAAACCAAAACCUUUCGCCCCCCAAGCACACACACUUGACAAGGCUUUCCUAGGAUUUGUGGGGGUCAUUUCCAUGGCCUGGUUUAUGAAUUGGUGCUCCCUUUGUAUGUUGAUCACUGCCCCUAUAAAAGAGCGAAUAGAUGAGCUGCCUUCAAACCAAAUAUAAUAGAAUAGAGAUAAAAGAGUAUAUGUAGUCAGUCGGUGUAGUUGUUGUAGCUGUGGAGACAGAAGGCAAUCUUGUACGUUAAUCACCCAAUGACUUGCAGACCAACAAGAAUCGGCGGAUCUUACACUCUAUCGUGGCUGAUGAGUCUCGGCUGGAGGUUUACGAGCAGAGGGACCUGCCAGCCCCCCCCUCAAGUGGGAGUCUUCCAGCCUGUAUGCCUGUGAGCCCGUCCGCCUCUCAUGAUCUCCACGGCUUUUCAGACCGAGGUGAACAGAGGCGUGACUGAGCUGGUGUGUCUAAGGGAGGAGCUGAUGGUUGCCACUGGGCCAGGCCAUACCCAGCGGCUGUGUUGGGACGGCUCCGUCAACUACAGCCACAAGCUGCGUGGACCUGCAGCGCGUCCCAUUCUGCAAUGAUCAGCUGGCAGUGAAGGGUAAGGUCAGGUCUUUAGAGGCUGUGGUAUGUGUGGGGGGAGUCCGGUGUGUUUAGUCUUGCCCUGCAGCGGUGCCCCUAGAGGCUCCGGGGGUGCAUGUGGUGGACCUGGAGUGUUCCCCGGUGGUGGUCCUCAGCGACGGCAGGGCAGCUUUCCUCACCGCCUCAAAUUUGAUCCUGAUUUGUCAGGGCGUGGUGUGGCUGGACCCUGGUGGGUGAGGCAACAGGCGGCCUGGAGGUGUCCCACAUUAUGGUGCCCUCAGACAGAGACUACGGAGGAAGGGUCACCAGGGCCAGUGGUGGGCUCCUGAUGGCACUGUGCUGGGCAUGAGCUGGACAGGAGGAGGAUUGCUGCUGUGGAGUGCAUUUGGCUCCCUGCUGACUGUGUCUCUGCGCUGGGACCACUCCGAGGACCCACUGUCUCUUGCCAUUACUAUAAGGAAUAUGGUAAGUAGCAGGGGGUGGAGUGCAGUCACUGGAGUCGCCUACUUUUGGCCAGAGUCAAAGUCGCUAAAAUUAUCUCCGACACCUUUAUGACAAAACAGCUGCUUCUUCCUCUUAAUGAAAAUUGGUUAGGUUAAGUUAGGUUAGGUUAGGCUAGCUGGUUCUUCCUCAUAAUGAAGAUUGGUUAGGUUAGGUUAGGUUAGCUGGUUCUUCCUCAUAAUGAAGAUUGGUUAGGUUAGGUUAGCUGGUUCUUCCUCAUAAUGAAGAUUGGUUAGUCAUUCUUAAAGUCAUACAAAGGCCAUGGAAGCCUUCAGAAAUGUUUGCAAACUUUGCUUAUUCAAAAAACUUGCUCCAGGCAUGUCAAACUACAUAUUUAAUUGAGGCAAACUACUUGUGUGUCUUACGGUCAUAUUCUUUAUACAUUUCAGCGCCCAAUCACAUGUAUUUGACAAGGCUUUCGUAGGAGUUUGGGGCAUUUCCAGGGGUAGUUUUAUGACCCUGGUGGUAGUUUGACCCUUUUUCUGUACCAUGAACCUAAGAAACAUAUUUGACUAGGCUUUCAUAGGAGUUUUGGACAUUCCCAUAUCCAAAACUGAUAGCUUGAGUAAAAGUCAUGUGCAUCGGGGCACACUAUACUAAGGUUAACAUCACUUUGUUGUUUUCUGCCUGUCUGUUUCUCUCCCCAGUUCCACAGCGCCCAGAUGACUCCC